RNAcentral lists this long non-coding RNA (14372 nucleotides) under Lynx pardinus (Iberian lynx). The stretch from base 2603 to 2669 matches the Rfam family "Small Nucleolar RNA SNORD64". The record is from RNAcentral. Lineage: Eukaryota; Metazoa; Chordata; Mammalia; Carnivora; Felidae.
UGACACAGGACCUUGUCUGAACAUAAUGAUUUUAAAAUUUGAGCUUAAAUGACACUCUGAAAUCUAGUCAAUGUGCCUCAGUAGACUUUACAGAGAACAUUAUUUUCAAUAGAAAAUUUUGGCUUACUGUGCAAACUUUGAAUACUUAGAAAUGGCAGGUGUAGCAGUAUACUUUGCCAGUUCCUUAGACAUCCUUUUUUUUUAAAAAUGUUUAUACAUAUUCUGAGCUCAUUAUUUUUUCCCUUUUUUUAAAACAUAUAUGCUGUUGAAAGCAAAAAAGGAAGCUCAUCCUUAGAUCCCAGAAGGUACAUGCAUAUGCUGAGAGGAAGCAAGGACAUGUAAACGGGAGACUACUACUUCUUGGAUCACACAUUGGAUGACAGAGAUGUUUAAGUGAUGAUGUCCAGGAAAAUGGGGAACUAAUAUUUAUGGAAAAUAUAUUAUGAAAUACAGUGAGUAUGGUAAGUGUCUUCAAAUGGACACCAUUGGUGUUUGAGGACAAUUUUUUAGUUUUUCUUUAGUUGUCUGCAAUGAUCAAUGGGUAUAGAGCCUAUCACACAGUAGAUGUUUAAGAAAUGUCAGAAUUACUAUUUUUUUUAAUUUUAGGAUGCAAGUUUUUAGAUUCAUUAUAGUUCCUUCCAUAUAGUGUAAUGUCUGUGAUUAUAAUCCAUGCCUAUCUAAUAUGUAUCUCCAUAUCUUACCAGGGAAGUAGUUAGUUUUUCCUAAAUAGGAGCCAGUCAAAACUGUUUGCUGUGUCUUGGGUCUUGUUUUAGUGAAGCUAGGUACCUUGGCAUAAAGUUUACCUUUCAGUCAUUUUUGGUUAAAAAAAAAAAGGAAAAGGUUAAAAAAAUUCUGUUUGAUUUUACAGGGGUAAGAAGAUCUCUUUCUUAGUGAGAUGAUGAAGGCCCAAUAGGAGAGCAAUAUUUGAAAUCCAUUUCCAAGGAUAUGUUUGUUCUGUAUGUGAAUGUUGAUUUACAGCUUCAGGUGUUAAUGCAGCAAGUCCAUCUCCGCCAAAAGUGAGUAGGCUGUAUAGGCUGUAUAGGACAGCUACAGUAUACUUCAUUCAACUUCUCAAAUGAUAGAUGAAGAGACCUCAAGGGACUUUUUCCUUAUACUAAAAGGCAUGUGGCAUUUUGGCCCUGGUAUCCUCUGGUGACAGGAAUGUAGACUGAAAGAAACAGUUCCACUAGUUUGUUCUGCAUUCCGUUUCACCUCAGUUUGUCUCUGGAAUCCAUGUUGCUAACAUCAUGUAUUUGUUGUUGUUGUUGUUGUUGUUUAUAAUUUAUUGUCAAGUUAGCUAACAUACAGUGUAUACAGUGUAGUCUUGGCUUCAGGAGUAGAUUCUUGUGAUUCAUCACUUGCAUACAACACCCAGUGCUCAUUCUAACAAGUGCCCUCCUCAAUGCCCAUUACCCAUUUUCCCCAGCCUCCCAAGCCCCCAUCCUCAUCAACCCUCAGUUUGUCCUCUGUGUUUAAGAGUCUCUUAUGGUUUGCUUUUUGCCUAUAAUUUAGGAAGCUCUAAUGUGGAAUUGAAAUGGUUAGUAGAAGACUUGACUGGGUUAAUUUUCUUUGGUGAGCAAGAUUAAUCUUAAAAAGUAGACGAGGCAGCCAAGACUCAAGAAAAAGCCACUUAGAUCAACCAGAUGUUUGAUUUUGAAUUAUUUUUGGUAGAUUUACAUCUGGUGACGAUAAUACAAUGAGCUAGAGGGAUUAGAUAUUUGUACAUCUGAAUUCAUUGGGCUAUCUGUUCCCAUGUUACAUAAAAUGUAUUUGUACUAUUUACAGAAUUUUUCCCCCUUUUUAAAUUUUUAUUUUAAUUCCAGUUAACAUAUAGGAUAAUAUUAGAUUCUGGUAUACAAUGUUGUGAUACAGCAUUUCCAUACAUCACUAAGGUCUCACAAAUGCAGUCCUGAAUUCUCCUCACCUGUUUAACCUAUACUCCUUCCCGCCUCCCCUGUGCUGUGAUAGCAGAAAUAAAGUUAAAAAGUACAGUUUUUGAUAUUAGUAAUUUUAUUGUCUAUUAGGAAACCUAUAUCAGGAAAAGCAGUGUCUGCUCUAUUCUUUCCAUGAUAUAAUUUUGAUUAUAUUACCAUACCAAUUUCGUUUGUUGUAUCCAAGAUCUUAGAGCUCCUUCAGAAUCAUCAGUGCCGUGUAGACUUUUUACUGGAGUCUGUGUUUCAUCAGUUUGAUCUGUCUUAAUUUUAUUUGACCAUUUACAUUGAUUCUUACUUGACUCGAAAAUUUUGAGUUAAUAUUUUGAGACUCAAUGUGGUCUAGGUCCUUAAAAUAUUUGAAUAUUUCAUUUUUCAGUUUGGAUGAUAUGCUUGUAGAAGUGGAUCAUAAGCUAUUUAGUUCUAAGACAGCAAAGAUCGUGAUAUAAUUCUGGCACAUUCUUGGGGUUUUAUUGUCUUUAGUUUUUCUCCAUAUUUUCACCUUAAUUCUGUGUCAGUUGAAUUAUAUUGCUAUUAUUUAACUUACAUUGUUACAUAAAGAUGAUCAUCAUUCUCCUAAGCUAAAAGAUAAUUGCAUUAUUAGAGAUGUACUGUCUGAAGGUAUUAAUCCUUUUACAGAGUUGUAGUAGUUGUUGGGAAAGACCUUGACUGGAUUUAUGAUGAGUUAUGUUUACUGAGUAUGAUGAAGUGAAACUCAGUGUGAGUACUCUGAAGUCCAGCCUAAGUGUCAACCCAAAUACUUAGGACAUAAAUAUUCUGAAAAUAAGUUCUUGCACUGUAAAUUUUGCAAGAUAUUUUGAGCAAUAUUGUGCAUAUUAGGAAGAAUGGAACUGUAAGUUUUUCCAGUGAACUAAAGAGAGGUGGAUUCUAAAUUCCACUACUGCAGUUUUCUUUUGUAGAGUUAUCUUCUGUGUUUGUAGCAUUUGUAUAUCUCACCUUCGUCUUUUUCAUUAUGAGUUUCAAGUGAUGAAUUUAAGAGAGUAAAAACUUGGUAGCUACUAUGCUUUUUUCUUUAUAUUACAUACUACUAUAAUCAUUUAGUUCCAACCUCAUACCUGUUUCCUGAGAGCAUGUCCCUAAGCUAUGAGGCAGCUCCAAGUACAAUAUGAAUAAGAAAUUGCUAGUUUGUUGUUGAGAUACCGAUUUGGUCUAAAAUAAGACUUGUGUUUUCAGCAGAAUGCUAAAGAUACAUUGAGAUGAAUUACUUUAUUUUUGUGUGUGUGCACACUUUAUUUUCUUAAUUUAUUUUUUAAUUUACAUCCAAGUUAGCAUAUAGUGCAACAAUGAUUUCAGGAGUAGAUUAUUUAAUGCCCCUUACCCAUUUAACCUAUCCCUCCUCUCAGAAUCCCUCCAGCAACCCUCUGUUUGUUCUUUAAGAGUCUCUUAUGUUUUGUCCCCUUCCCUGUAUUUAUAUAAUUUUUGCUUCCCUUCCCAUCUGUUUUGUAUCUUAAAUUCAUCAUAUGAGUGAAGUCAUGUGACAAUUGUCUUUCUCUAAUUUUGCUUAGCGUGAUACCCUCUAGUUCCAUCCACGUAGUUGCAAAUGGCAAGAUUUCAUUCUUUUUGAUUGCCGAGUAAUACUCCAUUGUGUGUAUAUGUGUGUAUACACACACACACACACACACACACACACACACACAUCUUUAUCCAUUCAUCUGUUGAUGGACAUUUGGGCUCUUUCCAUACUUGGCUGUUGUUAGUGGCACUGCUAUAAACAUUGGGGUGUAUGUGACCCUUCGAAACAGCACACCUGUAUCCCUUGGAUAAACAUCUAUAGUGCAGUUGCUGUGUUGUAGGGUAGUUCUAUUUUUAAUUUUUUGAGGCACCUUCAUACUGUUUUCCAGAGUGGCUGCACCAAUUUGCAUUCCCACCAGCAGUGCAAAAGAGAUCCUCCUUUUCCCCAUCCUCGCCAACAUCUGUUGUUGCCUGAGCUGUUGAAGUUAGCCAUUUUGACAGGUGUAAGGUGGUAUCUCAUCGUGGUUUUGAUUUGUAUUUCCCUGAUGAUGAGUGAUGUGGAGCAUUUUUUCAUGUGUCGGUUGGCCAUCUGGAUGUCUUCUUUGGAGAAGUGUCUAUUCAUGUCUUUUGCCCAUUUCUUCACUGGAUUAUUUGUUUUUUGGGUGUUGAGUUUCAUAAGUUCUUUAUAGAUUUUGGAUACUAAUCCUCUAUCUAAUAUGUCAUUUGCAAAUAUCUUGUCCUAUUCCAUCGGUUGCUUUCAGUUUUGCUAAUUGUUUCCAGAUGGAUUACUUUAGUUGUCUUAAUAAAUUAAUGACCUUUCUGUAUCUUGGCAAGACAUAGAUGGGGAUUUAGAAGUUUUGACUCUUUGUGAUUUAAGGGGAUGAAAUUGACAUUUUGCAGUUGUUGAUACUGAGCCCUAGAGAUGAUAUGCUAAUAAGUACCAUGCAUUUUUUUUACCUGAAUUUUUGAAUCAGGUCUUUAAUCUUACAUUUUUCUUUAAUAUUUAUCUUGUAUAAGUAAUGGACUUUUUGUUACCAUGAUUGUUAUCGUGAUUGGUAUUCCAUGAUUAGGUCCUUGUGACUUGCUGAUAGUAGUUAUUAUAAGGGAGUUGAGUAGUAAUUAAACAGGUAAUUUAGGAAAAACCUUUAUAAAGAUGUACCAUUGAUAGUUGAAUAUAUCAAGAUAUUAUCCUUAGUCACUUAAUUUGUUAAGGUGUGUGUGUGUGUGUGUGUGUGUGUGUGUGUGUAUGUAUGUGCGUGUGUGUGUGUGGUCUGUGUGUAUAGAUAAUGUGGGUGUUGAUACUGUGAGAAGUGAUAGUUAAUAGUGAAAAGCUGUUGGGGUUCAGAAAAAUUACAAUUUUCUUUAAGAAGAAUGGUGAACAAGUCUUUUCUAAGGUCUUUCCUUUAUCAAGUCCCUGUUUCCCUGCCAUAAAUUUUAGUAUGUUUAUAAACCUCAUACUUGUUUGACUUAAUGUUCCUGAUCCUGUCCAGUAGGGAUAUGCUGGAUGGAUUGAGAGAAAUGAGUUACCCUUUCUAGUAACUGAAUUUGAUUAAAAGCAUACAUUUGAAUGAGGAAGGAAGGGAAUACUCAUUGGAGUCUGUUGAAGAGUAGUGUUGACUAAAGGUCAUUUGAUUUUGGAUGUUUGGUACAACCUAUGGUAGUCAGUUAUUACUGGGAGAAAGCAAGCAGUGGUAGUUGCUGGCUCAGCCCUUUCCAAAUAGUCCCAUUCUCGUGGUGCUGUUUCUUUAUAGGUGAUUGAAAGAAAAUCCCCUAUAAUUGGAAUCCCUAGAAGAUGAUCAGGAUUUAUUUUUGUUUUGGAGGGGGUAAGUUGGCUUUAUGGUCAGACUCCUUGUUUCUUGAAUCUGAUGAUAGUGUUCAUUCCUACAAAGGGAUUCUGAGGUUAAGUCUAGCUGAUUUAUGUAUGGUUGGAGCACUUUGGUGAGAUUAAUAGAAGGAAUGAAUUAGCAAUAGAUGGUGAGAGCAUUGGUGGAAGAAAGGAAGAUAAGAAGGAAAAAUACAUGGUUUCAGUGAUUGUAACAUGUCCGUAGUGUUGUAUAAGUGUGAAGGAUACCUGUAAAUGGAAAACAGUGUUUGGAUUCUUUCAGUUGCUGGCAAGAGGAAAGCUGCCCUCUUUGAAUAUUGGACCAGUGGGGGUUGGUUAGGAAUCAGAAUUACUAACAUUUACCUGCUACUUUGUCAUUAAUAGCAGUGUAUGAGUUUCAGCCAGCUUUGCCAUGUUAGAUUCUCUGUGUCUUUUCUUGAGAUGAAUAGGCAGUAUUGUGUCUUAUGUUGAAAUUACUGUGAUUAGCAAGAUGUGCUGAUCAAAUAUGGUCAUUAUGCAGUUAUUGGAAUAGGUAGAGUUGUAUAUUUCUAGACGGUCUAGAUUAAAUCAGACUUUCUCCAACUUCAGUACACAUGAGAAUCACCUGGAGGGCCUGUACAGUUUGUGUAAGAGUUUCUGGUUCAGCGUAGGUCAAGGUCUGAGAAGUUGACAUAUGCUGAUAAGAAACAACUGAGUUUUAUUCAGACAACAAAUUGCCAGUAUACAUUUAAAUUAUGUACUUAAUUUGAGGAAGUAAAUUUCUUUUUGAUAAUGAAUCAAGUACAAAAAUAUUCACCAAGUUCACAUUGGAUAAAAAUGACCAAUAAACAAAAAUUUACAGAGAGCCAUUAAUGUUUAAAAAAACAUUUUAAAAGUAGAUGUGAUCUCUGAAUAGUGUGUUGAUUUUCUGGACCUCAUAACUUCUGCCUAAUACUUUUACUUUUGUGGGAAGAUUUAUCUGGUUUAUGUUCUGUUGGUCACAGAACUGCAUAACUUGAAUUAUUUGCAUUAUAGGCAUAUGUUUGUGUUUGUGUGUUUAGACUUUAUUUUUAAGUAAUCUCUACACAGCAAAGAACUCAACCUUACAACCCUGAAAUCAAGAGUUGCACACUCUACCAACUGAGCGAGCUAGGCGCCCUAGUUUGGUUUUAUUUUAAGCAUCCACUUCUGUAUCAUUUUAAGUAGGCCAGAAACUGCCACUACCUGUGAACUUCUGGGUGUUGAGUUUGGGGUUGAGUCUGUUUUCUGGGGAAAUUUCAGUAAAUAUAUUAUAGCUUAUCUGUGAAUACUUUGGCAGCUGUAUUUGGUUAUUGAUACCUGCUUUUUAUAAUGGGGCUUAUUUAUGGGAAUAGUGUUAAUAACGGACUGUCUGUGUUUACUUAUAAACAUCGAAAAGUAGCCAGGGAUUUCUCCAAGCUUGAAAAUGCUGAAGAAUAUAGAUAUAGGUCAAAUCAGAGUCAUUCCCCCAUGAUAUAGCAAAUAAAGAACUGAGAAUUGGAAUGAGAGGACUUUUUUUCCUGUGGCUUGGAGUGAAGAAGAAAUUACAUAAGAUAUUUUAAAAUUGUGACAUGAUUUCUGAAAAUAAGUUAUUGCAGUGAAAUUGGUUUUCUUAUUUUUGAAUAAGAAUAUUUGGGGAGUUUUUCUUAAUUACAUCUUGUAUAAGGUAUAACCUUCUCUAGUGAGAUUGGAAAAUGGUUUUGUAUUUGAAAUAGAUGGAGUGUUUUUUUCAACUGAGUGAAUGAUGGCCCUAUGUGAUGGCAAAGUAAUAGAAAUAUUUCAUCCCUCAAAGAUUGCUGAAGUCACGGGGAAGAAACAAUGCAUAAAAACCCCGGUUUAACUAAUAAUAUUUUUCUUUGUCUAAGAUUAUAUAUAGCAUGAUUCAUAAACAUGGUUAUAAGAAGGCAUAGUGGACUUAAGUUUCUCAUAUUCUUCCCUUAUAGGGAGAGCAAAGCAUAUUAAUGCUUCACUAGAAAGUCUUGGUGUCCUUACUGUUGUUUCUCCCAAGACCUGGCAUAAUAAUUGGCAUAUGGUAGAAGUUUGGAUAGUUAGUAAUUUUUGUUAUAUUGGUAUAUUGUUAUCAUAGUUAUUUGUUGAAUUAAUGCAUAAAUGAACAAAAGACACGAAAUUUUCCUUUUAUUGUAUAGGCAAAGUGUGGCUUCAGUUUAAAGCUCAAAUUUCUCAUGUUUUAUAAUGGUUUGAGUCACAAAACACUGGCAUUUUUUGUACUACUUUGCUGAGGGUACAAAAUUAUUUAUUUUUUUAUUAAUUUCUUUUAAUGUUUAUUUAUUUUUGAGAGAGACAGAGACAGAACGUGAGUGGGUUAGGGGCAGAGAGAGAGGGAGACACAGAAUCUGAAGCAGGCUCCAGGCUCUGAGCUGUCAGCACAGAGCCCAACGGGGGACUCGAACUCAUGAGCUGUGAGAUCAUGACCUGAGCCAAAGUCGGGCACUCAACCGACUGAGCCACCCAGGUGCCCCCACAAAAUUAUCUUAAACUCAACUUGAUUUUCUGUUAAUUAGAGAGUGCCAAAUUUUUUGGGGGGGCAUGGAGGAAAGAAAAAAUGUAUUCCUUAAGGUUGUCUACUUUUUUAUUGGAUACUUAGACCUGUUUCAGUAUAGCGCACAGGAGAAUAAAUCUUCUAUGUUUAAAUUUUUCAAAAAGGACAUUUUCAGUUGAACUUACAUUUGUGCAAAUUUCUUAGAAAUCAAGAGAACAUUGUUGAGGAGUAUAUGACCGUUUACUUGUCAGUAUAUAACAGAGUACUUGGCCAGAUAAAAAUGUGAAAAUGUAUCAUUAUUUUGGUUGGCAAAAUAUAUUGGCUAUUUAUUCUCUUGGUUUUAGUAAUGUACACAAACAUCUUCUACAACCCUGUAAAAGAAAAGACUUGGAACACUUGUAUUCAAAAUGACAAAACAUGUACAGAUAAUUCAAAGAAGAAAAUACUGGCAAGUAAGCAUGUGAAAUGUCUCCGAAUCAUUCAUAAACACCCUUUAAAAAUCAUUGUAUGAUCAUUUGAAUCAAUUUUACAUAGAUGUAAAAAGGUGAUGCCAACUAGGUGAGAAAGUGGGUGUCAUUCGUGGACAUAAAUGGAACCCAAGAAACAUGGACAAGGAUUUCAUCCAGAAACUUAGAAAAUUUAUUGGACAAUAGACAACUGUUCAAGCUCCAUUAGAUAGCAGUUCUGAAGCUACCUUUCUAGAUGACUUUUGUUGUUGUAAUUGUCGUAUUUUAACUGUAUUAAAGCUUCUAACUGAUCCCCUUACUUCUAGCUUCAGAUUCUCUGUUUCAUCUGUCUGCCAGAGCAGUAUUUGGGAAAGAUAUGAUAAACCAAGUCACAUUUCUUCAAAAAUCUGCAUUUGGCAUGUUUUUAAGAGUAUUAGAAAUAAGCAAUAAUCAGAGAAGAGGACAAAGAUUAUAUAAACUGAUAACAGAGGAUCUUUUGCCACUGUCAAAACUGGAAAUUUGCCACUUUUAGUCACUGAACAUUUGGAUUCCUAAAUUUUGUGCCCUAAGACUCCCCUGAUAUGAAUCGUACGAAAUUUGUGCAGCAAGAAACAAUGAGAUUAUAAUCCAAGAUGAUUUAGGAUACUGUGCAAACGUUUUUGCCACUGACGUGAACAGGAGAGUAUAUCCUGAGAGCCUCUGCAUUGAUCAGAUUGUAGUUUUCAAAUUUUUCUGGAGUAUCCUGAGCAAUUAUACUUAUGGACUGCUAUGAAGCCUAAACAUCAGGCUGAUUCAAGGGAUCUUUGACCAGGACCUUCCUGUAGAGACACUCCCUAGAUCUUGUAUUCUAUAUUUAUUUCAUGGUCCAACAUGAUUAGCACAGCAUCUCUAAUUCCAAAUUAGUCCCCAGAAUGCAAAUGUAUGAAGUUAUCUACUGAAUUGAAAUAAUUUCAAGUGAAUGGCACUUGUAGUAUUGGUUUAGAAUGGACAAUCUCAAGUAAAUAUAAGACAGCAUUCUAGGAAUAUAUGGAAUGAAAGGGAAGGACAACACAUCCCAACUUGAGCUAGAAGCUUCACCAACUACAAAAUCACAGAGAAAAUAGAGAUAUAUACUGUCCUGAAAUUCAUCUUGCUUUUCAAAAAUUUUAUUUCAUUGGCAAUCUUUGGAUUUGGUAAAAAUCUCAGUAUUUUUUUCUACGAAUUACCAAUUUACCAUAAAAAUAUUUAAUAGUAAGAGCCUUGUAUACGUGACUUUAAUACAUACAUGAUAAACACAAAUAUUUUUUUUUCACCUCACACACCAUUUUAGGAAUAUAAACUUAUUAACUAAUUACUGGACAUAUAGAGCUUAAGAAUAAAUGCUUAAGAAAAUUGUGAUUGGGUAAUGGUAUUGAAAUCAAUAUAAAAUACUCAGUGAAGGAUGAAUAUGUAUGAACUGUUCAUUGGAUGUUAGUGAAAAGAAUGAAAUUCAACAUGUAAUAGUUUAUUGUAUUUUAUUCUUUCUUUGCUUAAUCUUUCUUGUACUCUGAUGCUCAAGCACAGAGACUACAGUUAUAAACAAAUCUAUUGUUUUUAAAAAUGGUUGCUGUGAUAAUAGAGCUGGUUUCCUAGGUGAGUUUUUAAAAACAUGUUUGGUAAAACUACCUUCUGGAAAAGAUUUUAGAAAGGAAUGAGGCCAUUUUGUAAAGAUACACACAAUGCUAUAUUCAUUGUUUGAAUGUUUAUGGAUAAGGGGAGAGGAAAUGGACAUGAGGAAUGUUUAAUAUAUUAAUCAGGAAAAAAGUAAGGCACUAGUUAUUAAUGUUUAUUUUGAGAAUAUACUGUAUGAAAUAACUAAAUAUAAUUGCAUUGUGACUUUAAGGUAUUGUGAUUGUUAAGUUUGCUAACAUUUAGAAGAAAUUUUUAAUACAUGAUUAUAAAAAUAGAACUGUUAGAACCUUUGAAUGAUACACAUUUAGAAUCAUUUGAUUGAAUGAUUUUUGAGUGGCUUUUGGUGCGGGGCAAGGAUUGUUCUGUUGUAUGCAGCUGUUUUAUUAAGGCUGUUCUGUGUGGUUGUAGAUGUUAUUCUGUAAAUAUUUGUUAAUAUCUUUAUGGUAUGUUAAUGUUUCUGUGGUAUGAGAUUUAAUUCCCAUGAUGGAAUUACUGCAUAAGAGUCCAGCUUCUAUGCAUGUUUAGGAUUUGAUGGGCUUUUUUAUUGCUAUGUAUGUAAUGGAAAAAGUACUGUGUUAAACCAUCCUAUUAAUCAUGGAGAUGACUGAUAUUUGGGGCAUUUUAAAUGUUAGAAUAUAAUUUUGGUUGUCAAGAGGAGUUUUUAGACUGCCUUAUUUGUAGUAGGCAAAUAAAAGCAGAAUUUAGAAGGUAGAGAACAGGGAAUUUUGGAGGGCUAUACGUAUAUGCAUAUGUGCAGAAACAGUUCUUGAACAGCCUAGAGGCUUUACUCGAUGCUCAGAAGUUGGGAAUCAACAUAUAUUUUAUUAAUCCUGUGAUGUUAAAUAGGUGUAGUUUGUUGUUGUUUUUUUCCAAUAGAAUUGUUAAAUUGCCUCAACAUUAAUUCCUUUUCAGUAAGAUUAUACUUUUUUUUAAAGUGUUAUAUACAAUGUAAUGUUCUUUGCCAUCUAAUUCUCUACCUACAUAGACAUCACUGUAAAUACAUAUCAACUUAUAUGGAUAGACAUUUUUGUUUGACAAAAAUGAUAUUAUAUCUUGCCUCUGUGUUCAUUGGAUUAUUAGGCUCAAAUUGUAGGGUGGAAUAAAUGUGCAGUGUCUAGUAUAAUAUCUCACAUUGUUUUUUAUAGAAGAUUCAUCAUAGUGGAAAUGUCAUUUUAACUGUGGGUCUGCCUUUGUUUAUGGUUUUUAGAUAUGUUUGUAUGCAAAUAGGAAAUACAAUUACUAGAAAAAUCUCUACAUGUGGUUAAACAUAAUAGGUUAGAAAAGUUUUCAUUUGCCAGUGUAAUUUGACUUUUAAUAAUUGAAUUGUUCUUGCUUUAAAAUACUACAUAAAAUAGUAUAGGUGAUUUACAAGUUUGUAUUAGAGAUGUUUGUAAUGGUCUGUCAAAUCUAUGUUCUUAAAAGGAUGGGCUGAUCAAAGAAAAGUUUUAUAUAAUGUGUAUAAUUAGACACAGUUAUUAUGUUUUCUUAAAGCCGAGGAAUAAUUAUAUCAGCAUGUUUUGUAAAUAUGUAGAAUGAAAAAUUUGCAUAACAGCUGUCAGAUUAUGUCUGAGUAAAUAAUUGAGCAGCUGAGGUUCAGGAUAUUUUGUUAGAGUGUUCUGUGUGUAAAACAGGAUAAAAUAAUUUUUACUUUAAACUUUUAAUCCUUAAUUUUACAGGGGUUGCAUUCAUAUACAUAUGUAUAUAUACACCCACAGGUGUAUUGUAUAUGUAUAUAUAAGACAACUGUUUAUUAAAAAUUAUACAAUAGGAACACCUUUUGGCCAAAUAAUUAUCACUCGGCUUUAAUCUGUUCUUUGUGUUGUUUGAUGGUGGAUAAUACAGGGUGUUGUUCAUGAGCCGUAGUUGCUGGAGGAUACUGUUAAAUGGCUAGUUAAGUUAUAGACCGGCGUUAGUUUUUGUUUUAGAAUAUUUGCAUAGGAUUUGCUGAUAGGUGCGUAUAUUUUCUGGAUAUCAAUUUGAGAGACAAUGUGAAAAAACACUUCACUUUGACAAAUUGACUUACUACACCAUGUCUAUUUGGGAUGUAUUUGGUGAUAGGGAUUAUAUUAUUUUGUUUUGCGUAUAGGAGGUAAGUGUCAUUUUAUGUCAUUUUUAGAUAUAUAAUUUCUGUCAGUAAUUUUGUAAAUAUAUUUUUAUUGAAAUAUUAAAGGUAGAAUCAUUGAUUAUAGAUAUAGUAGAGCAUCUUCAAGUAUUAGGUUUUAUUUUGAUGUUUUUUCUUUCUGUAUUCUUUAUUUCAGUUCUUUAUUUAAGUUUAUUUAAAUUCCAGUUAACAUACAGUGUAAUAUUAGUUUCAAGUGCACAAUUUAGGAUUCAGCUAUUCCAUACAACACCCAGUGCUCAUCACACAUGCAUUCCUUUAAUUCCCAUCACCUAUUUAACUCCUCCCCCACCUACCUCCCCUCUGGUAACCCUCAGCUUGUUCUAUAUUGUUAGGAGUCUGUUUCUUGGUUUGCCUCUCUCUCUGUGGCUUUGAGAUUUUUUAGUUAGACAUUCAUUGUUAAAGUACAGAAAUUAUUGCCAUUCAUAUUUUAAAUAUGAAAUGAGUAAUUUCUUAUACUAAACUUUUUGUAUGCUUGUAGACAUGAAAUAGUAAAAUAAGUCUCUGCUGUUAUGAUUUAUAGACUGCUGUGUAUGUAGUUAUUGAUAAAAUACUUAUUUCUAGAUAUACAGACAUUGCUGAUAAACAUGUUUAAAUAUCAAACUUAUAAAAAUCAAUAUAAUUAGUUUCUCUGCAUGUUCAGUGGUUUGUUGUAAGAGAAUGGAUGGGGUGGUGGAUGUUUUCCAUUCUCAUCAGUAAUGUAAGAUUCUUUGGCUUUGAAUCUAUUUUUGGUUUAUAGAGAUAGUGAACAUCAUGUAUGUUACAGUCAUGCUGUUGGUAAACUCUAGGUUUGACAUAUCUCCGAAUUAUUUUAAGAAUUUCUUAUGGAUGGCACUUUGUGGUUUGUUGUUAAACACUGGUAUUUAUAAUAGUUAUAGCAUUUGACUUAGGAAGUAUAUAGAAAUGUUGGUAAACAAAAUGAUAGAAGGUAGAAACCGUUUUCUUUUGAGGACGUUGUUCACCUUUGUGUAGGAUUCCAUGGAAUGCUGGGAUUAUUAAAGACAAUUUAUUUGAAAAUUGGGUUAAAAGCUUCUGAGCCUUAUUUUUGUUAUGUUUGUGUGUGCACACACAUGUAUAUAGUCAGGAAAGAGGGUGGUUGAAAGUUCAUUGCCUCACAUAUUUCAUUUAGAAGAAAAAUUAGACUUCAAUAGUUAAAUUGUGCCCAUUUUAUAUAAAAAUAUUUCUACUUAUUAAGGGACAUGAGAUAUAUCUUAUUUUCUCAGAUGUACUGAGGUUCUUGAUGAAAUUCAUUUUACUAAAGAAAAUUUUACAGAAUCUAAAUUACACAGUUCUGUGUUCAUUUGUUACACAGCAGUAAGACAACUUUGGAAAUAAUAGGCAAGUGAAACAUUUGGUUUUAAACAUCUAAUAUUUCCAGAUGUAUUCAUAGUGUUACAGUAUAAUUUUAUAAACAUUUUCAUUGUAAAUGUGUUAGGACUAUUGUCUUUUAAAGUUGUCAUGGCAAGGAAAUUGAUCACUGAUAAAUAGGGUCUUGGAGCUAUGCAAUCUUUAUCAUACACUCAUUUUGUUGUUGAGAGAAAUAGAAAAGAUUAUGCAUUUAACCCAUUCUCAUAGUAGAAUAGUAUGCCAUUGUAUAAGUAUAAACUGUAUAUUAAAAAACAUACACCAUGUAAAUUCAUUUGAUGUUACAAGGUGUAUUGUAAUGUAUUUCAUUUGGAGCUUCCCUAGUAUAUGUACCUUACAUUAUUCUUGUGUUAAGAUAUUUUUUAGAGCAGAUCUAGAUCGGUUCAUAGCAAAAUUGAGGGGAACGUACAGAGAUUUGCCAUCUAGCUCCUGCCCCAGCACAUGCGCAAUCUCCAUCAUUAUUCACACAGCACAUGCAUAAUCAGUCCCAUUAUCAUCAUACCUUACCAGAGUUACUUACCAUUUAUUCCUGCUGAUGAAUUUACAUCAAUACCUCAUAAUUACCCAAAGUCCAUAGUUUUUCAUGGUUAACUCUUGGUAUUGUACAUUUUGUCGGUUUGGACAAAUGUAUUAUGACAUGUAUCCAUCAUGGUAUUAUGCAGAAUGUUUUCAUUGUCCUAAAAAUCCUCUGUGCUUCACCUAUUCAUAUCUUCCCCGUAUUUAUUUUUAUUGUUAACAUUGGAGAUAUAAAUGACUUUGUUAAAGGGAUUUUAUACUACCUCUUGGAACUAUACACAAUUCUGUAUGUGUUCCUUUGGUUGCAUGACAAUAUUCAAGACAACUUUGUAAAUAAUAGAUACAAGUUUUUAGUUUUUAACAUCUAGUCUUUUCUAGAUGUGUAGAGUCUCACAACGUAUAAUUUUGUAAAUAAUUCAUUGUAAACUUUCAUAGUUUCAUUGUUAUCAAGUGCUUUAAUAGCAGUGCAGUUGAUAACAAUUUUCUUGAUAACAAGUUUCUUCAGCUAUUGCCUAUUUUGGUAUCGGAAGGAGAAAGUUACUAAAAGUGUACU